UACGUAGGGGGCAAGCGUUGUCCGGAAUCAUUGGGCGUAAAGCGCGUGUAGGCGGUUCAGUAAGUCUGCUGUGAAAGUCCAGGGCUCAACCCUGGGAUGCCGGUGGAUACUGCUGGGCUAGAGUACGGAAGAGGCGAGUGGAAUUCCCGGUGUAGCGGUGAAAUGCGCAGAUAUCAGGAGGAACACCGGUGGCGAAGGCGGGUCUCUGGGCCGAUACUGACGCUGAGGAGCGAAAGCGUGGGGAGCGAACAGG
RNAcentral lists this ribosomal RNA (253 nucleotides) under uncultured bacterium. RNAcentral describes it as "partial 16S ribosomal RNA". It matches the Rfam family "Bacterial small subunit ribosomal RNA", at positions 524 to 776 of the family's 1533-position model. The record is from RNAcentral.